UCCAGAUACGGUGACAUGGUACCGGGAACAAUCGCCGGUAAGAUAGUGGGUGGUGUGUGCUCGUUGUCCGGAGUACUCGUCAUCGCUCUGCCCGUGCCAGUCAUCGUGUCCAAC
Non-coding RNA from Papilio xuthus (Asian swallowtail), 114 nucleotides. NCBI's taxonomy places the organism in Eukaryota, Metazoa, Arthropoda, Insecta, Lepidoptera, Papilionidae. The record is from Rfam.